UACAGAGGGUGCGAGCGUUAAUCGGAAUUACUGGGCGGAAAGCGUGCGUAGACGGCUAUCUAAGUCGGGUGUGAAAGCCCCGGGCUCAACCUGGGAAUUGCAUUCGAGACUGAAUAGCUAGGGUACGGUAGAGGGAAGCGGAAUUUCCGGUGUAGCGGUGAAAUGCGUAGAUAUCGGAAGGAACAUCAGUGGCGAAAGCGGCUUCCUGGACCAGUACCGACGUUCAGGCACGAAAGCGUGGGGAGCAAACAGG
This 253-nucleotide ribosomal RNA is filed under the name uncultured bacterium. Its description in RNAcentral is "partial 16S ribosomal RNA". It matches the Rfam family "Bacterial small subunit ribosomal RNA", at positions 524 to 776 of the family's 1533-position model. The record is from RNAcentral.